GCGCGAAAACUUUACAAUGCGGGAAACCGUGAUAAGGGAACCCCGAGUGCCUGUAUAUGCAGGCUGUCCAGGUGUCUAAAAAACACCUGAAGAAAGGGCCGGGCAAGACCGGUGCCAGCCGCCGCGGUAAUACCGGCGGCUCGAGUGGUGGCCACUUUUAUUGGGCUUAAAGCGUUCGUAGCUGGGUUGUUAAGUCUCUUGGGAAAUCUGACGGCUUAACCGUCAGGCGUCUAAGGGAUACUGGCAAUCUUGGAACCGGGAGAGGUGAGGGGUACUUCGGGGGUAGGAGUGAAAUCCUGUAAUCCUCGAGGGACCACCUGUGGCGAAGGCGCCUCACCAGAACGGCUUCGACAGUGAGGGACGAAAGCUGGGGGAGCAAACCGGAUUAGAUACCCGGGUAGUCCCAGCCGUAAACGAUGCGCGUUAGGUGUAUCGGUGACCACGAGUCACCGAGGUGCCGAAGAGAAACUGUGAAACGUGCCGCCUGGGAAGUACGGUCGCAAGGCUGAAACU
Molecule: ribosomal RNA, 513 nt
Filed under: uncultured Methanoculleus sp.
Lineage: Archaea; Methanobacteriati; Methanobacteriota; Methanomicrobia; Methanomicrobiales; Methanomicrobiaceae
Description: bacterial SSU rRNA
Rfam family: Archaeal small subunit ribosomal RNA
Source: RNAcentral